AGAUUGAACGCUGGCGGCAGGCCUAACACAUGCAAGUCGAGCGGCAGCACGGGUACUUGUACCUGGCGGCGAGCGGCGGACGGGUGAGUAAUGCCUAGGAAUCUGCCUGGUAGUGGGGGGAUAACGCUCGGAAACGGACGCUAAUACCGCAUACGUCCUACGGGAGAAAGCAGGGGACCUUCGGGCCUUGCGCUAUCAGAUGAACCUAGGUCGGAUUAGCUAGUUGGUGAGGUAAUGGCUCACCAAGGCGACGAUCCGUAACUGGUCUGAGGAGGAUGAUCAGUCACACUGGAACGUGAGACACGGUACCAGACUCCUACGGGAGGCAGCGAGUGGGGAAUAUUGGACAAGUGGGCGGAAAGCCGUGAUACCAGCCAUGCCGCGUGUGGUGAAGAAGGUCUUACGGAUUAGGUAAAGCUAACUUUAAGUU
This 430-nucleotide ribosomal RNA is filed under the name uncultured soil bacterium. RNAcentral's name for it is "bacterial SSU rRNA". It matches the Rfam family "Bacterial small subunit ribosomal RNA", at positions 26 to 441 of the family's 1533-position model. The record is from RNAcentral.